Molecule: long non-coding RNA, 909 nt
Filed under: Homo sapiens (human)
Lineage: Eukaryota; Metazoa; Chordata; Mammalia; Primates; Hominidae
Description: HSALNT0196514
Source: RNAcentral
CUCGUCUUUGAUGAAGCCCUGCCUUUGCCGCUGAGGACAAAUGUUCUUUCCAAUCCCACGGGAGGAAGAGACGUUCUAAAGAGAGAAUUGAAUUCAUGGUUGGCCAGGAGACAGUGAAAGAGGACCCAGGAGAAAUUGCUGGAAAUUUAUGGUUUCAGGCAUGGCUGGAUCCAGGCGCUUAAAUGACAUCAUUGGGAACCUGUAUCCUGUUGUACGUUGGAUCUGCUUUUCCUGGUGUUGGCUUCAUUCUAGGGCUGGAUUUCCUCAAAUGGAGGAAAGAUGGUCCCAACAGCUCUUAGAUGACCUCUUAUCACUUUGGUAACAGCAGAAAGGGGUCACCUCAUGACUGAUAGCUCAGUUGUCCGGGCCAACUCUGAUCAGCCCAGCUGGAUCUUAUGGCCACCCUUGAGCCAGUCACUAUGUUUCUGCUGGGUUGGGUCAUAUCCUCCAUACAAGUCAUGUCAGAUAUGAUUUCAUUUAGUGUGUGGGAGAGGAAAUGUUCCCCAUGGAAAACUGAGAUGCUAUUAUCCGGAAAAGAAGGAAUGGACACUGGCCAGGCCAAAACAAGCCUAAUUUAAUUUGAUGAGAUAGGCACACAUUGUGCAUGGGGGAGAGUCCCAAAUGGCACCCCAAAGCCACAAUGAAUCUGCACCAAAAUGUGCUGCACCCCCGAUUAACACAGAAAUGAGAGUUAACUCAUGGAUAGUACUAGGAUCCAUGAUGACGAGAUGGUGAUUUUGGGAGAUGUGUUUGUACAUGAGGUCACACCUGGGCCACACAGGUGGGUCCUGGUGAGGCCUUUCUGUCUAGAAGUGAGGGCUGUGUUCUUGAGACUUUGGUAUUACCGAGGGGAGAAAGAGGAAGAGCUGGAGGUCAGAGAACGUAGCUGCAGGCUAGGCAGAUGCGACC